AUCCUUAUGUGAUUUAUAAAUAUGAUGGUAUGAUGGGGUUUUUACACCACUGUGUGAGAUGUGCUCGCCUCAAACCUUGUUACAAAACCAUCAAAUUAGCUUCAAUAUA
RNAcentral lists this small nucleolar RNA (109 nucleotides) under Mus musculus (house mouse). RNAcentral describes it as "Small nucleolar RNA U13". It matches the Rfam family "Small nucleolar RNA U13". The record is from Rfam by way of RNAcentral. RNAcentral also lists the same sequence under 1 other name. Lineage: Eukaryota; Metazoa; Chordata; Mammalia; Rodentia; Muridae.